This 468-nucleotide ribosomal RNA is filed under the name uncultured bacterium. RNAcentral's name for it is "partial 16S ribosomal RNA". It matches the Rfam family "Bacterial small subunit ribosomal RNA", at positions 28 to 507 of the family's 1533-position model. The record is from RNAcentral.
GAUGAACGCUGGCGGCGUGCUUAACACGUGCAAGUCGAACGGAAAGGCCCUGCUUUUGUGGGGUGCUCGAGUGGCGAACGGGUGAGUAACACGUGAGUAACCUGCCCUUGACUUUGGGAUAACUUCAGGAAACUGGGGCUAAUACCGGAUAGGAGCUCCUGCUGCAUGGUGGGGGUUGGAAAGUUUCGGCGGUUGGGGAUGGACUCGCGGCUUAUCAGCUUGUUGGUGGGGUAGUGGCUUACCAAGGCUUUGACGGGUAGCCGGCCUGAGAGGGUGACCGGCCACAUUGGGACUGAGAUACGGCCCAGACUCCUACGGGAGGCAGCAGUGGGGAAUAUUGCACAAUGGGCGGAAGCCUGAUGCAGCAACGCCGCGUGCGGGAUGACGGCCUUCGGGUUGUAAACCGCUUUCGCCUGUGACGAAGCGUGAGUGACGGUAAUGGGUAAAGAAGCACCGGCUAACUACGUG